This 1172-nucleotide long non-coding RNA is filed under the name Zea mays. Its description in RNAcentral is "long non-coding RNA (ZMAY_LNC005750)". The record is from RNAcentral. Lineage: Eukaryota; Viridiplantae; Streptophyta; Magnoliopsida; Poales; Poaceae.
CGGAAGUCCACCACCUGUUUUUGACACACAACUUAGUGCACCAAUUUCACAUAACCAGGCUCAUAAACGACGCCGCACCUACGCACAAACUCAAACCCCGCCGCGGGUUACAUCUCUCCCCACACCCACCAAACUGCAGCGGCGCUGCUUAAUAAUUUCAUAACUUCAAAAUUAUGACAGCAUUGGUAACAAACAAAAACUCCAGAGGCAUCUACAUAAAAUUCCCCACAAGUUUUGUAUACAAUUUAUAAUUAAAUUCCAACAUCUAAUUAGCCCAAAACAGUUCACAAGAUGCACCCUGUAAUCUGUUUUUUUCUCUUUUGGACAGCGACAUACCCGGAUUCAAACAGCGAUAUCUUUUAAAAUAUAAUUCCAAUUCAAGCGCAUAAGUACUCAUUGGAAAGAUAAGACAAAGCCAUACAUGAUUAUCAUACUGGUUAGCACUAAUUAACCACGAAAAAUUCCCAGAAAUUGCUAAUACUGCUGCUGUUCACCCACCUGAAAAAUCUGUUUUUUUUACAGCAACAUACCCGGAUUCAAACAGCGAUAUCUUUUAAAAUAUAAUUCCAAAUCAAGCACAUAAGUACUCAUUGGAAAGAUAAGACAAAGCCCUACAUGAUUAUCAUACUGGUUAGCACUAAUUAACCACGAAAAAUUCCCAGAAACUGCUAAUACUACUGCUGUUCAUCCACCUGAAAAAUCUGUUUUUUUGGACAGCAACAUACCCGGAUUCAAACAACGAUAUCUCCUAAAUUAUAACUCCGAAUCGAGCGCAUAAGUACUCGUUGGAAAGGUAUGACAAAGCUCUACAUGAUUAUCCCACUGAUUCCCACUAAUUACCCCACGAAAAUUCCCAGAAAUCCCUAGAACUACUGCUGUUCACCCACUCACAAAAUUCCUGGACAGCACCUCUACCGAUUCGCAAAGAUAAACACAUAAUCCAAUUGAUUGCAGCACAAAAACAACAAAAGUUAAUCACAAAUUCACCUUAGGUUCUUCCCUUCCUCCUUCCUUCUUCCUCCCUCCAAACUCCAAUUGAGAUCGCAGCCACACGACGGAGAACCACACGGGAGGGCUGCACCUUGGAGGAGGGGGAGAAAUGGGGGGGCGGCUAGGGUUUUGGGUGGUGAGGGCUGCAAAGAUUUGAGGAGGAAGAAGAUGGGAGAGGGGGG